This 468-nucleotide ribosomal RNA is filed under the name uncultured bacterium. Its description in RNAcentral is "partial 16S ribosomal RNA". It matches the Rfam family "Bacterial small subunit ribosomal RNA", at positions 28 to 507 of the family's 1533-position model. The record is from RNAcentral.
GACGAACGCUGGCGGCGUGCUUAACACAUGCAAGUCGAACGGAAAGGCCCUGCUUUUGUGGGGUGCUCGAGUGGCGAACGGGUGAGUAACACGUGAGUAACCUGCCCUUGACUUUGGGAUAACUUCAGGAAACUGGGGCUAAUACCGGAUAGGAGCUCCUGCUGCAUGGUGGAGGUUGGAAAGUUUCGGCGGCUGGGGAUGGACUCGCGGCUUAUCAGCUUGUUGGUGGGGUAGUGGCUUACCAAGGCUUUGACGGGUAGCCGGCCUGAGAGGGUGACCGGCCACAUUGGGACUGAGAUACGGCCCAGACUCCUACGGGAGGCAGCAGUGGGGAAUAUUGCACAAUGGGCGGAAGCCUGAUGCAGCAACGCCGCGUGCGGGAUGACGGCCUUCGGGUUGUAAACCGCUUUCGCCUGUGACGAAGCGUGAGUGACGGUAAUGGGUAAAGAAGCACCGGCUAACUACGUG